This 391-nucleotide ribosomal RNA is filed under the name Antennarius striatus (striated frogfish). RNAcentral's name for it is "partial 16S ribosomal RNA". It matches the Rfam family "Bacterial large subunit ribosomal RNA", at positions 1962 to 2502 of the family's 2925-position model. Lineage: Eukaryota; Metazoa; Chordata; Actinopteri; Lophiiformes; Antennariidae. The record is from RNAcentral.
AAAUCAAUUGUCUUUUAAAUGGAGACCUGUAUGAAUGGCGUGACGAGGGCUUAACUGUCUCCUUUUCUUGGUCAAUGAAAUUGAUCUCCCCGUGCAGAAGCGGGGAUAAGCACAUAAGACGAGAAGACCCUGUGGAGCUUUAGACACCGGAGCAGCCCAAUGUUAAAUUACCCUCUUAAGAAGCAAUAAUUCAAGGUGCCUACUCUCAUGUCUUUGGUUGGGGCGACCAUGGAGUAAAAAAUAACCUCCACGAGGAAAAGAAGUACUACUUUUUUAAACCAGGGCUACCGCCCUACUAAUCAGAAUUUCUGACCCUAUUGAUCCGACCCAUGCCGAUUAACGAAUUGAGUUACCCCCAGGGAUAACAGCGCCAAUCCCCCCUUAAAGACCA